CACGCAUGCGCAUGACAGAAUCCAGAAGAGCAGCUGGCAAUGGCGCACGUGCCUACAGAGAGGGCUCUGCGUGCCACCUCUGUUUAUAGAUGCAACUUUGAAUUUUGGAGAUGUUUCUACACCUCAGUCUUGGGAAUAUAAAAUGACUUCAGGAUCUUGCAACACCUCUUUUCCCAAAGCUUGCUGAUGCAUCAGGGUGUGACUGCUACCUAUGGGAGUGAUGCUGCACAAACCACCUUCUUUAUGCAAUCCUAAAUAAAGAAAUUGCAGUAUUGUG
This is a non-coding RNA of Pantherophis guttatus, 277 nucleotides long. NCBI's taxonomy places the organism in Eukaryota, Metazoa, Chordata, Lepidosauria, Squamata, Colubridae. The record is from RefSeq and is a predicted model, not a curated record.